Molecule: ribosomal RNA, 257 nt
Filed under: uncultured Oscillospiraceae bacterium
Lineage: Bacteria; Bacillati; Bacillota; Clostridia; Eubacteriales; Oscillospiraceae
Description: partial 16S ribosomal RNA
Rfam family: Bacterial small subunit ribosomal RNA
Source: RNAcentral
AAUUGGCUGUUUAGUGGCGGACGGGUGAGUAACGCGUGAGUAACCUGCCUUGGAGUGGGGAAUAACACAGUGAAAACUGUGCUAAUACCGCAUGACAUAUUGGUGUCGCAUGGCACUGAUAUCAAAGAUUUAUCGCUCUGAGAUGGACUCGCGUCUGAUUAGAUAGUUGGCGGGGUAACGGCCCACCAAGUCGACGAUCAGUAGCCGGACUGAGAGGUUGGCCGGCCACAUUGGGACUGAGACACGGCCCAGACUCC